AAUAUUGGACAAUGGGCGCAAGCGUGCUCCAGCCAUGCCGCGUGAGUGAUGAAGGCCCUCUGGUUGUAAAGCUCUUUCUCCGGUGAUGAUAAUGACGGUAGCCGGCGAAGAAGCCCCGGCUAACUUCGUGCCAGCAGCCGCGGUAAUACGAAGGGGGCGCGCGUUGUUCGGAAUUACUGGGCGUAAAGCGCACGUAGGCGGAUCGGUCAGUUAGGGGUGAAAUCCCAGGGCUCAACCCUGGAACUGCCUUUAAUACUGCCGGUCUUGAGUUCGAGAGAGGGGAGUGGAAUUCCGAGUGUAGAGGUGAAAUUCGUAGAUAUUCGGAGGAACACCAGUGGCGAAGGCGGCUCACUGGCUCGAUACUGACGCUGAGGUGCGAAAGCGUGGGGAGCAAACAGG
This 399-nucleotide ribosomal RNA is filed under the name uncultured bacterium. RNAcentral describes it as "partial 16S ribosomal RNA". It matches the Rfam family "Bacterial small subunit ribosomal RNA", at positions 360 to 776 of the family's 1533-position model. The record is from RNAcentral.